RNAcentral lists this microRNA precursor (63 nucleotides) under Caenorhabditis briggsae. Its description in RNAcentral is "Cbr-Mir-36-o12_pre stem-loop". It matches the Rfam family "mir-36 microRNA precursor family", at positions 24 to 85 of the family's 103-position model. Lineage: Eukaryota; Metazoa; Nematoda; Chromadorea; Rhabditida; Rhabditidae. The record is from RNAcentral.
CGCCACUUUCCACCGCGGUGAUAUUCCAAGCAAAACGGUUAUCACCGGGUGAAAAUUGGUACA